GGAAAAGCCUUAGCUCAGGACCAGAGCAUUUACCUUGCAUGCAGAAGGUCCCAGGAUCAAGCCCUGGCACCUCCA
Podarcis lilfordi (Lilford's wall lizard) is the source of this 75-nucleotide non-coding RNA. The record is from the annotation of a GenBank genome assembly. Lineage: Eukaryota; Metazoa; Chordata; Lepidosauria; Squamata; Lacertidae.